GCAUUUUAACUUAGACAUCAUUUAAUUAAUACCUACUAUUCUGUAAUUCAAAAACAUGGUGUCACAUUCAAAAUGCAUAGUAUAGGCAAAUUCACACUGCACCAGCAGACGCAGGCAAAUUGCAAACAAACACAGUCUUCGGGUUUUGUUGUAUCAGUGUGGUACCCAUUUAGCCAUCUGUUGCUGCUUGUUUUUGUCAACUGAACAAGUUGAAUAUGUGUUUUUUUGGGUCAUGGAAAGUCUGAGUAGUGACACAAUGUACGCAGUUGGCUAUUGGUGCAGUGUGAAUUAGCCUUAUGCAGAUGAGACCUUGUCUGUUGACUGUGACUCUGAAUGUGGUUUCUGUGGCUGUUUGAUGUACAUAGAAAUUUAGAAAUUCAGUUGGCUGAAUGUAUUCAUUGUAUUCUGAUUUGUUUUAUAAUAGAGAGGACUCUGCAUUACCAGGAAAGAGUGCUGCCAAUCUAUUUCUCACUUAGUUGUCACUCUCACCUGCUGAUAAAGAGGAAUCAUUAUAUCGUCAGCAUCAAGAGUUACCUGGAGAAUAUAGGGAAUCUGUGUAAAAGUGGACCCUUGCAUGCUUGUGAGGUUAAAAGUGAAAGUAGCAAAAACUUACACAGUCAUCACCGUGAGCUUUCUGGCACAACCUUCAGACUUCACAAGGAACUGCAGGUGUGUGUGUGUGUGUGUGUGUGUGUGUGUGCGUGUGUGUGUAAAAGUGUGUAGCUGGUGUGUAAUCAUAUGAAUAAGCAUAAUAAAUUUAAAAAGGCUUCUAUUUUCA
This is a long non-coding RNA of Cyprinus carpio (common carp), 778 nucleotides long. The record is from Ensembl. NCBI's taxonomy places the organism in Eukaryota, Metazoa, Chordata, Actinopteri, Cypriniformes, Cyprinidae.